RNAcentral lists this ribosomal RNA (468 nucleotides) under uncultured bacterium. RNAcentral's name for it is "partial 16S ribosomal RNA". It matches the Rfam family "Bacterial small subunit ribosomal RNA", at positions 28 to 507 of the family's 1533-position model. The record is from RNAcentral.
GACGAACGCUGGCGGCGUGCUUAACACAUGCAAGUCGAACGGAAAGGCCCUGCAUUUGUGGGGUGCUCGAGUGGCGAACGGGUGAGUAACACGUGAGUAACCUGCCCUUGACUUUGGGAUAACUUCAGGAAACUGGGGCUAAUACCGGAUAUGAGCUCCUGCUGCAUGGUGGGGGUUGGAAAGUUUCGGCGGUUGGGGAUGGACUCGCGGCUUAUCAGCUUGUUGGUGGGGUAGUGGCUUACCAAGGCUUUGACGGGUAGCCGGCCUGAGAGGGUGACCGGCCACAUUGGGACUGAGAUACGGGCCAGACUCCUACGGGAGGCAGCAGUGGGGAAUAUUGCACAAUGGGCGGAAGCCUGAUGCAGCAACGCCGCGUGCGGGAUGACGGCCUUCGGGUUGUAAACCGCUUUCGCCUGUGACGAAGCGUGAGUGACGGUAAUGGGUAAAGAAGCACCGGCUAACUACGUG